Molecule: long non-coding RNA, 1021 nt
Filed under: Citrus maxima (pomelo)
Lineage: Eukaryota; Viridiplantae; Streptophyta; Magnoliopsida; Sapindales; Rutaceae
Description: long non-coding RNA (CMAX_LNC000928)
Source: RNAcentral
GGCCUCUCAUUUAUUUAUUUCAAUAAAGAAAUUUGGGUUAUUUUUUUGUAGGUCCAUUCACAUCAUUUAUUCCCGACACAUCAAAUGUAUAAAGACAAUUCUCAACUCAUUAUCCUCUCCAUCUCUCUAUCCCCCAGCUGGAGUUUAUCUCAUAUUUUAAGAGAUUUUUUAUUUUUCGGUUAAUCAAAGACUCCAAUUCCAAUUGUUUGUUUAGAUAGCAUCGAUGAUAUUCGAAGAGAACUUGCAAAUAUCGGACAUCCAGGUAUGAGAAAGUUGCUUUUUCUUGCUAAUAAAUGGAGGAAGAAAAGGAUUGAAACGAAUAUAUGGGGUCCAAAGAGAGUUGCAUUCCAAUAGCUAGGCGUGAGCAAAUUGAGGAAAGCUACGGAUGGACCCCAUGCGUAAGAAAAAUAUAAUGGUGAUGAAUUGAUGAUUGAUGGCCUCUCUGUAGAAGCUGGAGCCCUCAUCCUCCAUGCAUGAGUAUGAUGUUUUAGGUUUUAUUUGCAAAUUAAAAAUAAUUAAAUAAAUAAUUUGCUUUUGUUCUUAUUGAGUUUGUGGGGAUCCCUUUUAAGGGUUUUAAUUGAUCUGAUCUUCAUCUCAUCUCAUCAUCCUAUGAUAGCACACCAGAGCACCACAGCUUAGCCCCCUUUUGACACUUAGCCAUCACCCAUUUCUCCAUCAUCAUUAUUAUUAUUAUUAUUAUUAUUAUUAUUAUUAUAUGUAUAAUAUCCCUCAUUUCAUUUUCUCUCUCUCAACACACAUGCAUAAUAUUGUGUUUUUCUUGAUUUUUUUUCUCAAUUAGUAAUUAAUACUUGUUGAGGUUCGUGUUUAACGGUAUUUUUAACAUGCCAAGGGUUAUGCUUUAAUUGUUAAUGUAUUUUGUAAUGCUUGAUUUGAAUUUAUGCAACAACUUUCAAAAUCAAGAAAAAUGUUGAUAUGCUGCAAUUUGGAAAUAAACUCUACUGAAGUAUUGUUUCAUAAGGAUGCUAUCGAACAAGAACAAUUUUAUGUGCCAAGCUUAAUU